Long non-coding RNA from Carassius carassius (crucian carp), 194 nucleotides. RefSeq lists it as uncharacterized. The transcript has 3 exons. NCBI's taxonomy places the organism in Eukaryota, Metazoa, Chordata, Actinopteri, Cypriniformes, Cyprinidae. The record is from RefSeq and is a predicted model, not a curated record.
AUCUACUCUAAACCUGAAGACCCUGUGAUAUACAGCACUAUAAAUGAUGAAAACCCAAAUGAUGCCAACAGAAGCAUAACCACAUACAGUACUAUUGAUCAUGUUCCUGGGAGAGAAGCAAAGCCUCCAGCAGGUGGAACAAUAUACAGCUCUGUGACUCCACACCAGCAGCACCAGUAAGAAGAACACAGGAA